AACGAACGCUGGCGGCACGUUUUAAGCAUGCAAGUCGAAUGGCAGUGGGGGCAACUCCAUGAGAAUGGCGAACGGGUGAGUAACACGUAGGUGAUCUGCCUGACGGAUGGGGAUAGCUUGUGGAAACACAGGGUAAUACCGAAUGAGCUGACGAGACUUUGGUUUUGUUAGUAAAGGUGCUACGGCACCGCCGACAGAGGAGCCUGCGGCUGAUUAGCUAGUUGGUGGGGUAAAGGCCUACCAAGGCGACGAUCAGUAGCCGGCCUGAGAGGGGGUACGGCCACACGGGAACUGAGACACGGUCCAGACUCCUACGGGAGGCAGCAGCUAAGAAUCUUCCGCAAUGGGCGAAAGCCUGACGGAGCGAUGCCGCGUGAUCGAUGAAGGUCGAGAGAUUGUAAAGAUCUUUUCUACAUGAGGAACAAGUCUGGGAGGGAAUGCCUGGAUGAUGACGUUAGUGUAGGAAUAAGCCCCGGCUAAUUACGUGCCAGCCGCCGCCGUAA
This 503-nucleotide ribosomal RNA is filed under the name uncultured bacterium. RNAcentral describes it as "partial 16S ribosomal RNA". It matches the Rfam family "Bacterial small subunit ribosomal RNA", at positions 29 to 523 of the family's 1533-position model. The record is from RNAcentral.